CGCCAGCAUCAAGAGUCGGGCCGUCGCCCGGCACCAACCUGCCCCCCGGCAAGGUGGUGCCUCUCCAGACACGGGGAGGGAUGUGGCCGAACCGGCAACAACGGGACGAACC
RNAcentral lists this non-coding RNA (112 nucleotides) under Sphingomonas paucimobilis. RNAcentral describes it as "SAM-I-IV sequence". It matches the Rfam family "SAM-I/IV (S-adenosyl methionine) riboswitch aptamer". From Rfam's summary of the family: It is found upstream of a number of genes which code for proteins involved in methionine or cysteine biosynthesis. It has been found mostly in the order Actinomycetales. Lineage: Bacteria; Pseudomonadati; Pseudomonadota; Alphaproteobacteria; Sphingomonadales; Sphingomonadaceae. The record is from RNAcentral.